AGCUCCAAUCGCGUAUAUUAAAGUUGUUGCGGUUAAAAAGCUCGUAGUUGGAUUUCUGCUGAGGACGACCGGUCCGCCCUCUGGGUGAGUAUCUGGCUCGGCCUUGGCAUCUUCUUGGAGAACGUAACUGCACUUGACUGUGUGGUGCGGUAUUCAGGACUUUUACUUUGAGGAAAUUAGAGUGUUCACGGCAAGCUUUCGCUUUGAAUACAUUAGCAUGGAAUAAUGAUAUAGGGCAUAAGUUCUAUUUUGUUGGUUUCUAGAACAUAUGCAAUGAUUAAUAGGGAUAAUUGGGGGCACUCGUAUUAACGCGUCAGAGGUGGAAUUCUUAGAUUGCGUUACGACGAACUACUGCGAAAGCAUUUGCCAAGUAUGUUU
This 378-nucleotide ribosomal RNA is filed under the name uncultured eukaryote. Its description in RNAcentral is "SSU rRNA". It matches the Rfam family "Eukaryotic small subunit ribosomal RNA", at positions 587 to 969 of the family's 1831-position model. The record is from RNAcentral.